This is a long non-coding RNA of Mastomys coucha (southern multimammate mouse), 344 nucleotides long. RefSeq lists it as uncharacterized. Lineage: Eukaryota; Metazoa; Chordata; Mammalia; Rodentia; Muridae. The transcript is spliced from 3 exons. The record is from RefSeq and is a predicted model, not a curated record.
CAUAACCAGUGCUUACAGAUUUCUGUAUUUGUUAAUUAGAACAAUGAUUAGCACACACCCACUUAAUCCCUCAGAGAGUCAACAGUAAGCAUCUCACAUCUGAUCUGCUGCUGAAGUGAGCAUCCUAGGAAGCAGGUGACAUCUGCGCACCCAGCCGUGGCAUGUGAGUAAUCCCCAAGCCUUGGUGUCUGAGAUGGGAAAGUCCAAAUGGGAGAAAACAGGUUUCCUUGUACAGCCCUGAGUGUUCUGGAACUAGCUAUGGAGAGCAGGCUGGCCUUGAACUCACUGAGAUCUGCCUGCCUCUGUUUCUUCCCAAAGUGCCUGAUUAAAGGUGUGCACACCAC